UACGGGGGGGGGCAAGCGUUGUUCGGAAUUACUGGGCGUAACGGGCGCGUAGGCGGCCAUCUAAGUCAGACGUGAAAUCCCCCGGCUUAACCUGGGAACUGCGUCUGAUACUGGACGGCUCGAGUAUGGGAGAGGGAUGUAGAAUUCCAGGUGUAGCGGUGAAAUGCGUAGAUAUCUGGAGGAAUACCGGUGGCGAAGGCGGCAUCCUGGACCAUUUACUGACGCUGAGGCGCGAAAGCUAGGGGAGCAAACGGG
Molecule: ribosomal RNA, 255 nt
Filed under: uncultured bacterium
Lineage: Bacteria
Description: partial 16S ribosomal RNA
Rfam family: Bacterial small subunit ribosomal RNA
Source: RNAcentral